GGAGGACGCUUACCACUUUGUGGUUCAUGACUGGGGUGAAGUCGUAACAAGGUAGCGCUAGGGGAACCUGGCGCUGGAUCACCUCCUUAUACGAUGAU
Molecule: ribosomal RNA, 98 nt
Filed under: Vibrio jasicida
Lineage: Bacteria; Pseudomonadati; Pseudomonadota; Gammaproteobacteria; Vibrionales; Vibrionaceae
Description: partial 16S ribosomal RNA
Rfam family: Bacterial small subunit ribosomal RNA
Source: RNAcentral